AAGGAGUCUAUUUUUCUAUGACAGGAUUCCUGAAUGAGGAAAAUGUCAUUAACUACGUUCUUCUCUUGGCUUCUGUCAUCUGAAUUCUCUCAUGUGUGAAGAACACACACUCAAUGGGAUAUAGUUAAUCAAAAUGGAAUAGUUGCAAAAGGCUUCAAAAAGUAAACUUUCUGCCUGAUAUUCUCUCUCCAAAAGAAAUGAUCUUCUAGACUUCUGAAGCAUUAGGACUUUUACAUGAGCACAGAUUCUGGUGACAAAUUACACUGCAAUUCUCCUGCACAACAUUUUCUGUUCCACUCUGUUCCUCAGAGGUUUCCAUUACUGUAUUCAUCUCACUGUUUUUCCAAUACCUACUUGCAAACCAGGAAUGGAGGCCAAGGCACAUGUCAGAUUCUCAGUGAUGAAACUGAAAUGUGCUCUAUACCACCCACAGCCCGUGUUGGAAGACUGACUAAGAGGCAUGCUGCCAAUUUCAGCAGACAGGUAUGGAAUGACUUAAUUUAUACUUGGAAAUGAGAAACAAUAUGGAGGAAAAAAUUGCUUUGAGGAAUCAUCCAAAUGGGGUAGUAAAAAUGAUUAUCAUGUGGUUGACAGAUCCCAAAC
This is a long non-coding RNA of Myiozetetes cayanensis, 603 nucleotides long. RefSeq lists it as uncharacterized. NCBI's taxonomy places the organism in Eukaryota, Metazoa, Chordata, Aves, Passeriformes, Tyrannidae. The record is from RefSeq and is a predicted model, not a curated record. The transcript is spliced from 4 exons.